RNAcentral lists this ribosomal RNA (578 nucleotides) under uncultured bacterium. Its description in RNAcentral is "bacterial SSU rRNA". It matches the Rfam family "Bacterial small subunit ribosomal RNA", at positions 61 to 643 of the family's 1533-position model. The record is from RNAcentral.
GUCGAGUGGUAACAGAUCUAGCUUGCUAGAUGCUGACGAGCGGCCGACGGGUGAGUAAUGCAUAGGAAUCUGCCCGAUAGUGGGGGAUAACCUGGGGAAACCCAGGCUAAUACCGCAUACGUCCUACGGGAGAAAGGGGGCUUCGGCUCCCGCUAUUGGAUGAGCCUAUGUCGGAUAUCUAGUUGGUGAGGUAAUGGCUCACCAAGGCAACGAUCCUGUAGCUGGUCUGAGAGGAUGAUCAGCCACAUCGGGACUGAGACACAGGCCCGAACUCCUACGGGAGGCAGCAGUGGGGAAUAUUGGACAAUGGGGGCAACCCUGAUCCAGCCAUGCCGCGUGUGUGAAGAAGGCCCUCGGGUUGUAAAGCACUUUCAGCGAGGAAGAACGCCUAUCGGUUAAUACCCGGUAGGAAAGACAUCACUCGCAGAAGAAGCACCGGCUAACUCCGUGCCACAGCCCGCGGUAAUACGGAGGGUGCAAGCGUUAAUCGGAAUACUGGGCGUAAAGCGCGCGUAGGUGGCUUGAUAGCCGGUUGUGAAAGCCCCCGGCUCACCUGGGAACGCAUCCGACUGCAGCUC